This 404-nucleotide ribosomal RNA is filed under the name uncultured prokaryote. RNAcentral describes it as "bacterial SSU rRNA". It matches the Rfam family "Bacterial small subunit ribosomal RNA", at positions 355 to 774 of the family's 1533-position model. The record is from RNAcentral.
UAAGGAAUAUUCCACAAUGGGGGAAACCCUGAUGGAGCAACGCCGCGUGCAGGAUGAAGGCCCUCGGGUCGUAAACUGCUUUUAUGGGUGAAUAAUAUGAAUGUAACCCUUGAAUAAGCACCGGCUAACUACGUGCCAGCAGCCGCGGUCAUACGUAGGGUGCAAGCAUUAUCCGGAGUGACUGGGCGUAAAGAGUUGCGUAGGUGGUUUGUCUAGUGAAUAGUGAAAUCUGGUGGCUCAACCACACAGACUAUUAUUCAAACUGGCAGACUCGAGAGUAGCAGAGGUAACUGGAAUUUCUAGUGUAGGAGUGAAAUCCGUAGAUAUUAGAAGGAACACCGAUGGCAUAGGCAGGUUACUGGGCUAUUUCUGACACUGAGGCACGAAAGCGUGGGGAGCGAACC